Molecule: long non-coding RNA, 744 nt
Organism: Notolabrus celidotus (New Zealand spotty)
Lineage: Eukaryota; Metazoa; Chordata; Actinopteri; Labriformes; Labridae
Exons: 3
Source: RefSeq, a predicted model, not a curated record
CCUACAGUGUUGACAGUUAGUGAACGCAUCAGUGAGAGGCACACAGUGCAGCAGGAUGGAGGGGCUGAGAUGUGUGAGUGAGAGUGUGUGAGCUUGAAGGACGAGAGACAGCACAGGAGAAGUUGUUAGUUCUUUCAUUUAAUCAUUUUGGUUUUGUUAGUGGGCGUGGUCACGGCCGACAGUGACCAGUUCAUAAAGCUCUUGUGUUCACUAAUCGGCUCGUCAUCAUUGCAGAGUCCGGACGGACGUUACAAUAUUAUAAAUCAUUUUAUCGACCGCGAUGAUCCAUUUGUUGAUUUAUGAAAAAACAAUGACAUCUCUCAGACUUCCUCAGCCCACCCCUCCCCUCCUGUUUGACCAAGGUUAUCAAAUGUUGCCAUUAGAGCUGACAGGAGUUGGAGAGAAGUGAGUGGAAAUGGAUAAACAACAAAAGCGCAAGGGGGGUGCAGAAAAGCUGCGAGAUAAAAAGCUAAAAACAAGUGGACAGCAAAAUGUCCCAAACUUACUGCCGUGUUUGCCAUCACCACCUCAAGUUAGACUGCGGCAGCAGGUGCGGCCCCUGUCCUCCAGGGGUGCUCCAGGGAUGUGCCUUUCAUCGGUGUGGACUUCACAGGCAUGCUUCACAUUUAGCACCAAGGUCCAUGCAGCCUUCUGUCUCAGCAUAUGUGCCACUUUGAUGAGGAGCUCUUUAUUUUACAGGGAUAUAUGGUCUUACUGUGGUCUUAAUUGUGUAUUUGUAUGAAC